AUUGAACGCUGGCGGCAGGCCUAACACAUGCAAGUCGAACGGUAACAGGAAACAGCUUGCUGUUUCGCUGACGAGUGGCGGACGGGUGAGUAAUGUCUGGGAAACUGCCUGAUGGAGGGGGAUAACUACUGGAAACGGUAGCUAAUACCGCAUAACGUCGCAAGACCAAAGAGGGGGACCUUCGGGCCUCUUGCCAUCGGAUGUGCCCAGAUGGGAUUAGCUAGUAGGUGGGGUAACGGCUCACCUAGGCGACGAUCCCUAGCUGGUCUGAGAGGAUGACCAGCCACACUGGAACUGAGACACGGUCCAGACUCCUACGGAAGGCAGCAGUGGGGAAUAUUGCACAAUGGGCGCAAGCCUGAUGCAGCCAUGCCGCGUGUAUGAAGAAGGCCUUCGGGUUGUAAAGUACUUUCAGCGGGGAGGAAGGGAGUAAAGUUAAUACCUUUACUCAUUGACGUUACCCGCAGAAGAAGCACCGGCUAACUCCGUG
Molecule: ribosomal RNA, 490 nt
Filed under: uncultured bacterium
Lineage: Bacteria
Description: partial 16S ribosomal RNA
Rfam family: Bacterial small subunit ribosomal RNA
Source: RNAcentral